Molecule: ribosomal RNA, 575 nt
Filed under: uncultured Arthrobacter sp.
Lineage: Bacteria; Bacillati; Actinomycetota; Actinomycetes; Micrococcales; Micrococcaceae
Description: bacterial SSU rRNA
Rfam family: Bacterial small subunit ribosomal RNA
Source: RNAcentral
ACGGGUGAGUAACACGUGAGUAACCUGCCCUUGACUCUGGGAUAAGCCUGGGAAACUGGGUCUAAUACCGGAUACGACCAUUCCACGCAUGUGGUGGUGGUGGAAAGCUUUUGUGGUUUUGGAUGGACUCGCGGCCUAUCAGCUUGUUGGUGGGGUAAUGGCCUACCAAGGCGACGACGGGUAGCCGGCCUGAGAGGGUGACCGGCCACACUGGGACUGAGACACGGCCCAGACUCCUACGGGAGGCAGCAGUGGGGAAUAUUGCACAAUGGGCGCAAGCCUGAUGCAGCGACGCCGCGUGAGGGAUGACGGCCUUCGGGUUGUAAACCUCUUUCAGUAGGGAAGAAGCGAAAGUGACGGUACCUGCAGAAGAAGCGCCGGCUAACUACGUGCCAGCAGCCGCGGUAAUACGUAGGGCGCAAGCGUUAUCCGGAAUUAUUGGGGCGUAAAGAGCUCGUAGGCGGUUUGUCGCGUCUGCUGUGAAAGACCGGGGCUCAACUCCGGUUCUGCAGUGGGUACGGGCAGACUAGAGUGCAGUAGGGGAGACUGGAAUUCCUGGUGUAGCGGUGAAAUGC